AAAAUGCUUGUGAAAUUUUUUCACACUGCACACAGUUUUACUUUGCAGCCUGCGCCAUUCCAUUAAUAGUGAAAAAAUCUUGUGAUGGCAAAGAUAUUGGGUGUUCAAUAGACUGUUCACUAAAGACCCCAGCUAUAUCAACAGCAGAAGCGGCUACAUAAACUGAGUAUUUAUUAUACAAAGCGUACACGAAAGUGGUAGCAAAAAGAAGACGAAAGACGACAGGUCAGUGUGAUUUUCGAACAAGAAAAAGGAAGAGUAGUCUCCUGCUAACGCAGUGAUCAAAAAGCGUUUGGUAAGAGGAGCAAUUGGAAGUCAUAAAGCAACCGUUGGUGUGCUUAACAACUUAGGUCUUGAGCAUAUCUUCAAACUACACAAUAUCAACCAGCGGACCGGACCAAUUCAUUCAUCAAUCAUCCAAAAUUGGUUAUAUGCACAGACCACCCAAAAAACUAUUUUUCGCUUGAAAUCCCUGAGCGCGGAAUCCGGAAGAAGUACAGCAACAGCGUCUAACCAGCUGCUGCAAUUACGCAACUGCAACCAACUCAACCACCACAAAUUUAGUUGGUUGGAAAAAUACCAAUGUGUGAACAAUAAUUACGAUUCUACAACUCUAUAUACACAUAUAACUGAAUAGUAUUGAAUAAUUUAUUAACGUAGAAAAAAAAUACUAAUCAGGAAGCGGUGAUCGAUCGCACGUGAAAAGAGAAGCAAAGUGCAAAAGACGAAGGAGCGAAGGAAUUUAUUGUGCGACGCUGAAAGGAGCACUCAAAAAGCAAAUUUAAACCAGUUUUAAAUAAAAAAAAA
Long non-coding RNA from Rhagoletis zephyria (snowberry fruit fly), 807 nucleotides. RefSeq lists it as uncharacterized. The record is from RefSeq and is a predicted model, not a curated record. Lineage: Eukaryota; Metazoa; Arthropoda; Insecta; Diptera; Tephritidae.